RNAcentral lists this ribosomal RNA (253 nucleotides) under uncultured bacterium. RNAcentral describes it as "partial 16S ribosomal RNA". It matches the Rfam family "Bacterial small subunit ribosomal RNA", at positions 524 to 776 of the family's 1533-position model. The record is from RNAcentral.
UACAGAGGUCUCAAGCGUUGUUCGGAUUCAUUGGGCGUAAAGGGUGCGUAGGUGGCGCCGUAAGUCAGGUGUGAAAUUUCGGAGCUUAACUCCGAAACUGCAUUUGAUACUGCGGUGCUUGAGGACUGGAGAGGAGACCGGAAUUUACGGUGUAGCAGUGAAAUGCGUAGAGAUCGUAAGGAAGACCAGUGGCGAAGGCGGGUCUCUGGACAGUUCCUGACACUGAGGCACGAAGGCCAGGGGAGCAAACGGG